This 1089-nucleotide ribosomal RNA is filed under the name Salmonella enterica subsp. enterica serovar Typhimurium. RNAcentral describes it as "partial 23S ribosomal RNA". It matches the Rfam family "Bacterial large subunit ribosomal RNA", at positions 582 to 1588 of the family's 2925-position model. The record is from RNAcentral. Lineage: Bacteria; Pseudomonadati; Pseudomonadota; Gammaproteobacteria; Enterobacterales; Enterobacteriaceae.
CCCUUCGGGGUGUGACUGCGUACCUUUUGUAUAAUGGGUCAGCGACUUAUAUUCUGUAGCAAGGUUAACCGUAUAGGGGAGCCGGAGGGAAACCGAGUCUUAAUUGGGCGUUAAGUUGCAGGGUAUAGACCCGAAACCCGGUGAUCUAGCCAUGGGCAGGUUGAAGGUUGGGUAACACUAACUGGAGGACCGAACCGACUAAUGUUGAAAAAUUAGCGGAUGACCUGUGGCUGGGGGUGAAAGGCCAAUCAAACCGGGAGAUAGCUGGUUCUCCCCGAAAGCUAUUUAGGUAGCGCCUCGUGAAUUCAUCUCCGGGGGUAGAGCACUGUUUCGGCUAGGGGGCCAUCCCGGCUUACCAACCCGAUGCAAACUGCGAAUACCGGAGAAUGUUAUCACGGGAGACACACGGCGGGUGCUAACGUCCGUCGUGAAGAGGGAAACAACCCAGACCGCCAGCUAAGGUCCCAAAGUCAUGGUUAAGUGGGAAACGAUGUGGGAAGGCCCAGACAGCCAGGAUGUUGGCUUAGAAGCAGCCAUCAUUUAAAGAAAGCGUAAUAGCUCACUGGUCGAGUCGGCCUGCGCGGAAGAUGUAACGGGGCUAAACCAUGCACCGAAGCUGCGGCAGCGAACGUAUCACCCAAGACAACUUUACGGAGUUGACGAUUGACGGAGCGAAGCGACGUCAAAGCGUUCAUUAAAGUCGAGUUGGCUUAGGGAUACGUUCGUUGGGUAGGGGAGCGUUCUGUAAGCCUGUGAAGGUGUGUCGUGAGGCAUGCUGGAGGUAUCAGAAGUGCGAAUGCUGACAUAAGUAACGAUAAAGCGGGUGAAAAGCCCGCUCGCCGGAAGACCAAGGGUUCCUGUCCAACGUUAAUCGGGGCAGGGUGAGUCGACCCCUAAGGCGAGGCCGAAAGGCGUAGUCGAUGGGAAACGGGUUAAUAUUCCCGUACUUGGUGUUACUGCGAAGGGGGGACGGAGAAGGCUAUGUUGGCCGGGCGACGGUUGUCCCGGUUUAAGCGUGUAGGUGUGUGUUCCAGGUAAAUCCGGUUCACUUUAACACUGAGGCGUGACGACGAGGCACUACGGUGCUGA